RNAcentral lists this unclassified non-coding RNA (201 nucleotides) under plant metagenome. Its description in RNAcentral is "partial contains small subunit ribosomal RNA, internal transcribed spacer 1, and 5.8S ribosomal RNA". The record is from RNAcentral.
UCUCCGUUGGUGAACCAGCGGAGGGAUCAUUAUCGAGUUUAUAACUCCCAAACCCUAUGUGAACUUACCACUUGUUGCUUCGGCGCGCGCUUCGGUGCCGCCGAGGACACUUAAACUCUUUGUUUUUAUAAGCAUUUCUGAGUGGCCGAAAGGCAAAAUACAAAUGAAUCAAAACGUUCAACAACGGAUCUCUUGGUUCUG